GAUGAAGAACGCAGCGAAAUGCGAUAAGUAAUGUGAAUUGCAGAAUUCAGUGAAUCAUCGAAUCUUUGAACGCACAUUGCGCCCGCCAGUAUUCUGGCGGGCAUGCCUGUUCGAGCGUCAUUUCAACCAUCAAGCCCCAGGCUUGUGUUGGGGACCUGCGGCUGCCGCAGGCCCUGAAAACCAGUGGCGGGCUCGCUGUCACACCGGGCGUAGUAGAUUUUAUCUCGCUCAGGGCGUGCUGCGGGUUCCGGCCGUUAAAAAGCCUUUUUUACCCAAGGUUGACCUCGGAUAAGGUAGGAAGACCCGCUGAACUUAAGCAUAUCAAUAAGCGGAGGA
RNAcentral lists this unclassified non-coding RNA (336 nucleotides) under soil metagenome. RNAcentral describes it as "partial contains 5.8S ribosomal RNA, internal transcribed spacer 2, and large subunit ribosomal RNA". The stretch from base 1 to 120 matches the Rfam family "5.8S ribosomal RNA", at positions 35 to 154 of the family's 154-position model. The record is from RNAcentral.